UCUGUUUGGUAGGGGCAGGGCAUCCUCCUUAUCAAAGGAUCCCAAUGCCAACAGGAGUAAUGAGGGUUGACUGUGCAAAACAAAGGACCAGGUGUGAUACUAGAAAGAAAAAGCAAGGACAUCUCCUGACUGAAAAGAAUGCCAUAGAAGAUUUAUAUGUUACUGCAGUACUGCCUGGCGGGCUCUGGCACUUUGUAUUUAGUAUCUGGAGAGGAACUGCUUUAUGACUGAUUAAAAUAGCUUUUAAGAGAAGUCUCUGAAGAGAAAGCAUGCAGACUGUUCAGCAGAGUAUUUUCUUGUACACGAUGACCAUCAUUUCCUCAGCCCACCUGGCCUCCAGGGCUCCUCACAGCAAACCUGAAUCUACUCUGCCAGUCUCAAGUCUCUCGUGCCGUGCACCCAGUUGCCUUUGUUUGCUCCAGAUCUACAUCCCCCGAAAUAGCCCCUGAAAACAUACAGCCUUUAAAUAACUCUGCAACAUAAUUGCAAGCCCCAGUGCUCCUGCCUGCCCUGCUCCUUGUUGGGGCAGUGGGAUAAAUCCAGCUGCCAA
Molecule: long non-coding RNA, 550 nt
Organism: Passer domesticus (house sparrow)
Lineage: Eukaryota; Metazoa; Chordata; Aves; Passeriformes; Passeridae
Exons: 3
Source: RefSeq, a predicted model, not a curated record